Molecule: ribosomal RNA, 838 nt
Filed under: uncultured bacterium
Lineage: Bacteria
Description: bacterial SSU rRNA
Rfam family: Bacterial small subunit ribosomal RNA
Source: RNAcentral
ACAUGCAAGUCGAACGGUAACAGGUCUUCGGAUGCUGACGAGUGGCGCACGGGUGAGUAACGCGUGGAUAUCUGCCUAUUAGUGGGGGACAACUUAUGGAAACGUAAGCUAAUACCGCAUAAUCCCUACGGGGGAAAGCAGGGGACCUUUCGGGGCCUUGUGCUGAUAGAUGAGUCCGCGUCUGAUUAGCUAGUUGGUAAGGUAAAGGCUUACCAAGGCGAUGAUCAGUAUCUGGUUUGAGAGGAUGAUCAGACACACUGGAACUGAGACACGGUCCAGACUCCUACGGGAGGCAGCAGUGGGGAAUAUUGCACAAUGGGCGCAAGCCUGAUGCAGCGACGCCGCGUGUGGGAAGAAGGCCUUCGGGUUGUAAACCACUUUCAAUUGGGAAGAAGAGAUGAGGUUUAAUACACUUCUGAUUUGACGGUACCUUUAGAAGAAGCACCGGCUAAUUUCGUGCCAGCAGCCGCGGUAAUACGAAAGGUGCAAGCGUUGUUCGGAUUUACUGGGCGUAAAGAGAGUGUAGGUGGUUUAUUAAGUCGGAUGUGAAAUCCCGGGGCUCAACCUCGGAACUGCAUUCGAUACUGAUAGGCUAGAGUUUGGGAGGGGUAAGCGGAAUUCCGUGUGUAGCAGUGAAAUGCGUAGAUAUACGGAGGAACACCUGAGGCGAAGGCGGCUUACUGGACCAAUACUGACACUGAGACUCGAAAGCGUGGGUAGCAAACAGGAUUAGAUACCCUGGUAGUCCACGCCCUAAACGAUGUCAACUAGCCGUUGCGGGUAUCGACCCCUGCAGUGGCGAAGCUAACGCGAUAAGUUGACCGCCUGGGGAGUACGG